AAUUGUGGCUUCUGUUUCGCAGA
This 23-nucleotide non-coding RNA is filed under the name Rattus norvegicus (Norway rat). Lineage: Eukaryota; Metazoa; Chordata; Mammalia; Rodentia; Muridae. The record is from RNAcentral.